Long non-coding RNA from Anguilla anguilla (European eel), 611 nucleotides. RefSeq lists it as uncharacterized. NCBI's taxonomy places the organism in Eukaryota, Metazoa, Chordata, Actinopteri, Anguilliformes, Anguillidae. The record is from RefSeq and is a predicted model, not a curated record. The transcript is spliced from 3 exons.
CAGGCAAUGAGCAGCGAUGGAGAGGUCCGACCGUCGGUUUAAAAAAGAAGCCAAACCAUAUUUGGGGAAACACUGGCUAUGGAUCUGCAGGAAUCUUCCAUGGUGCUGUGGAGCAAAGCUUCCUGAGUAUGGACACUGCUCUUCCAGGAGGCUGGAAGAAAUGGGAACCCAAGCCUCAAAGUCAUGGGACACCAACGUGUCAUGGCUUUUUUUGGUGGAUUCCUCAAGGGAGACCCGUCAGUCCAACAUCCUGAAAAGCACGUUGCUGCCACAAAAUCGCUUGAGCCGUUUAUGAAAAUGAACAAUUCGGCAGCACGUUUUCAAAUAAGCUACGCUGAGAAAUACAUUUUUAUAGCAAUUAAUGUGCAGAGCAACACAAUGACUGAAGUGCUGCCAAAGUGGCAGAUGAAAUCUAGAUGCAAAUGCUCGCCGUAUGAAGAAGAACUCUUCAUUUUGAGCAAAUUGCUGAAAAUUGCUUUUUUGUUUCCUUACAUGCACUCAUCAGACUUCGGGAACCGGGAAAUUGUUUUGGAAGUUUGCUUUUCUGAAAUCAGGACCAUCAUCUUUAUUAAUUAUGAACAUAAAUGCAAUACUGGGUGCACAUGAGAAAC